This 287-nucleotide ribosomal RNA is filed under the name unidentified marine bacterioplankton. RNAcentral's name for it is "partial 16S ribosomal RNA". It matches the Rfam family "Bacterial small subunit ribosomal RNA", at positions 53 to 339 of the family's 1533-position model. The record is from RNAcentral.
ACAUGCAAGUCUACUGAAAUAUAACUUCGGUUAUUAAGACGGUGGCGGACGGGUGAGUAACGCGUGAAGAACUUGCCCUUAGGACUGGGACAACAGUUGGAAACGACUGCUAAAACCAGAUAAGCUCCCACUACCGCAUGGUAGAGAGAGAAAACACUAAAUGUGCCUAAGGAGAGCUUCGCGUCCUAUUAGCUAGUUGGUGUGGUAAAGGCGCACCAAGGCGACGAUAGGUAGCCGGCCUUAACGGGUGAUCGGCCACAAGGGAACUGAGACACGGUCCUUACUCC